RNAcentral lists this microRNA precursor (74 nucleotides) under Drosophila melanogaster (fruit fly). RNAcentral's name for it is "Dme-Mir-34_pre stem-loop". The record is from RNAcentral. RNAcentral also lists the same sequence under 2 other names. Lineage: Eukaryota; Metazoa; Arthropoda; Insecta; Diptera; Drosophilidae.
UGGCAGUGUGGUUAGCUGGUUGUGUAGCCAAUUAUUGCCGUUGACAAUUCACAGCCACUAUCUUCACUGCCGCC